RNAcentral lists this ribosomal RNA (437 nucleotides) under uncultured Oscillospiraceae bacterium. RNAcentral describes it as "bacterial SSU rRNA". It matches the Rfam family "Bacterial small subunit ribosomal RNA", at positions 341 to 792 of the family's 1533-position model. Lineage: Bacteria; Bacillati; Bacillota; Clostridia; Eubacteriales; Oscillospiraceae. The record is from RNAcentral.
ACGGAAGGCAGCAGUGAGGAAUAUUGGGCAAUGGGCGAAAGCCUGACCCAGCGACGCCGCGUGGAGGAAGAAGAUCUUCGGAUUGUAAACUCCUGUCAACAGGGAAGAAGAAAGUGACGGUACCUGUAGAGGAAGCCACGGCUAACUACGUGCCAGCAGCCGCGGUAAUACGUAGGUGGCGAGCGUUAUCCGGAUUUACUGGGUGUAAAGGGUGUGUAGGCGGCUUGGCAAGUCAGAUGUGAAACCUCAAGGCUUAACCUUGAGCUUGCAUUUGAUACUACUGAGCUUGAGAGUCGGAGGGGUAAUCGGAAUUCCCGGUGUAGAGGUGAAAUUCGUAGAUAUCGGGAGGAACACCAGUGGCGAAGGCGGAUUACUGGACGACCACUGACGCUGAGACACGAAAGCGUGGGGAGCAAACAGGAUUAGAUACCCUGGUA